AUGAAACGCGCCCUCUGGGGGUUGUGCUGGCGCUCCGGCGCAACGUGCACGCCCCCUCCGGCGUUCAGACCCCUUCACACCUGUGCACGAACCCGUCGGACGGGAGCGGUGCGUCAUGCGCGCCCUCCGGUCUGGCCCUUCACAUCAGCUUAUUACCGUACGUCGAAUGCAUCACUGCGCACGCGCAACCGAAAUA
Molecule: unclassified non-coding RNA, 196 nt
Filed under: uncultured fungus
Lineage: Eukaryota; Fungi
Description: sequence contains ITS1, 5.8S rRNA gene
Source: RNAcentral